AUUGAACGCUGGCGGUAGGCCUAACACAUGCAAGUCGAACGGCAGCACAGUAAGAGCUUGCUCUUACGGGUGGCGAGUGGCGGACGGGUGAUGAAUACAUCGGAAUCUACUUUUUCGUGGGGGAUAACGUAGGGAAACUUACGCUAAUACCGCAUACGACCUACGGGUGAAAGCAGGGGAUCUUCGGACCUUGCGCGAUUGAAUGAGCCGAUGUCGGAUUAGCUAGUUGGCGGGGUAAAGGCCCACCAAGGGGACGAUCCGUAGCUGGUCUGAGAGGAUGAUCAGCCACACUGGAACUGAGACACGGCCCAGACUCCUACGGGAGGCAGCAGUGGGGAAUAUUGGACAAUGGGCGCAAGCCUGAUCCAGCAAUACCGCGUGGGUGAAGAAGGCCUUCGGGUUGUAAAGCCCUUUUGUUGGGAAAGAAAAGCAGCAGGUUAAUACCCCGCUGUUCUGACGGUACCCAAAGAAUAAGCACCGGCUAACUUCGUG
RNAcentral lists this ribosomal RNA (492 nucleotides) under uncultured bacterium. Its description in RNAcentral is "partial 16S ribosomal RNA". It matches the Rfam family "Bacterial small subunit ribosomal RNA", at positions 30 to 507 of the family's 1533-position model. The record is from RNAcentral.